RNAcentral lists this transfer RNA (85 nucleotides) under Rhizobium sp. CECT 9324. RNAcentral describes it as "tRNA-Leu". It matches the Rfam family "tRNA". Rfam says of the family: Transfer RNA (tRNA) molecules are approximately 80 nucleotides in length. Their secondary structure includes four short double-helical elements and three loops (D, anti-codon, and T loops). The record is from RNAcentral. Lineage: Bacteria; Pseudomonadati; Pseudomonadota; Alphaproteobacteria; Hyphomicrobiales; Rhizobiaceae.
GCCCCGCUGGCGGAAUUGGUAGACGCGCCGCACUCAAAAUGCGGUUCCUCACGGAGUGCUGGUUCGAUUCCGGCGCGGGGCACCA